This 850-nucleotide ribosomal RNA is filed under the name Halobacillus profundi. RNAcentral's name for it is "bacterial SSU rRNA". It matches the Rfam family "Bacterial small subunit ribosomal RNA", at positions 36 to 855 of the family's 1533-position model. Lineage: Bacteria; Bacillati; Bacillota; Bacilli; Caryophanales; Bacillaceae. The record is from RNAcentral.
CCUCAGAUGUACGCAAAAUGCAGUCGAGCGCGGGAAGCGAGUGGAUCCCUUCGGGGUGAAGCUCGUGGAACGAGCGGCGGACGGGUGAGUAACACGUGGGCAACCUGCCUGUAAGACCGGAAUAACCCCGGGAAACCGGGGCUAAUGCCGGGUAAUACUUUUCUUCGCAUGAAGGAAAGUUGAAAGAUGGCUUCUCGCUAUCACUUACAGAUGGGCCCGCGGCGCAUUAGCUAGUUGGUGAGGUAACGGCUCACCAAGGCGACGAUGCGUAGCCGACCUGAGAGGGUGAUCGGCCACACUGGGACUGAGACACGGCCCAGACUCCUACGGGAGGCAGCAGUAGGGAAUCUUCCGCAAUGGACGAAAGUCUGACGGAGCAACGCCGCGUGAACGAUGAAGGUCUUCGGAUCGUAAAGUUCUGUUGUUAGGGAAGAACAAGUACCGUGCGAAUAGAACGGUACCUUGACGGUACCUAACGAGGAAGCCCCGGCUAACUACGUGCCAGCAGCCGCGGUAAUACGUAGGGGGCAAGCGUUGUCCGGAAUUAUUGGGCGUAAAGCGCGCGCAGGCGGUUCCUUAAGUCUGAUGUGAAAGCCCACGGCUCAACCGUGGAAGGUCAUUGGAAACUGGGGAACUUGAGGACAGAAGAGGAGAGUGGAAUUCCACGUGUAGCGGUGAAAUGCGUAGAUAUGUGGAGGAACACCAGUGGCGAAGGCGACUCUCUGGUCUGUUUCUGACGCUGAGGUGCGAAAGCGUGGGUAGCAAACAGGAUUAGAUACCCUGGUAGUCCACGCCGUANACGAUGAGUGCUAGGUGUUAGGGGGCUUCCACCCCUUAGUGCUGAAGUUAA